Molecule: long non-coding RNA, 3144 nt
Filed under: Homo sapiens (human)
Lineage: Eukaryota; Metazoa; Chordata; Mammalia; Primates; Hominidae
Description: HSALNT0291754
Source: RNAcentral
CAGUAGAAAAUAUUUAGGCCCAGGGAGAGGUGUCUCAUGGAGUGGAUGAAAGAGAACAGGGGCCAGGGGAUUUUGAGGCUUAGUGCCUCAUUCUCCAUUCACAGAACAAGUGAGUUGGCUUAGGUGAGUCUCUGGGGACCCUUGGGCUGAAAGCCACUGAGCAAGGGAUUGAUCCAGACCCACCCUUCAACUGCUGAGCCACACAGCUUAGCCUGUGCAGGACACCUGGCCUCCUAACGGUUUCUUGCCUUGGCAUGCGAACAUUUGGUGUCGCCCUGAAAUCUAGGAGAGGCACCAGAUGCCCAGGUGGGCAGGAAACCAUCAUCAUCAUGGGUUGAUUAGAACCCAUCUGUUUUUUAAAAGGGUAGGAUAUCUGGGCUCUUUAUUUUAAGCAAGCUCUGAUCUUAUGAAAUAAAGAAGUCCAGCUUUUCCCAUGGUGUGUUUGUAGACCACAAGUGCCAUGGGGUGUAAAGAUGUGUUACAGGGAGAAAAUGAAAGUCCAAUGGCCAAGUACAUUUGGGAAACUUUAAAGACCCUUAUCCUGCAGGAGUUCUCAGUCUUUAAUAUGCAGAAGUGCAUUGGGUAUCUGCAAAAUAGUAUGUGUGUGUGAGGGUUGUGAAUGUGAGUGUGUGUGUAGAGGUGGGUACUGUGUGCAGCUUUUUAAGAUUAAUUGAUCAGAGAACAAAUAUAUAUAUAUGUUAUAUAUAUAUGUUAUGUACAUACACACACACACACACGCACACACAUUUAGACACAUACAGAAUAGCUGGAGAAGAGUUCCACAGAAAAACAUUUGGGGAAAUGCUAAGGUUAUCUGAGGUCAAAGCUAAAAAAAUUAAAGUGAAUAAACAGUGACUUAAAACUUAUUUCUGCAUGUUAGUUUCAGCAUGUCAGUUUCUCACAUUUUUUCCCACUUUGUUAGCUUAAUUUCUUUUAUCCUCAGAAGAAAAAUGGCAUGCAAAUGAUCCUUUUCCCUUCCCUACGUGCGGUGCUCAUGGGAGGCAGAAGUAUUGUGUGUGCUCAUUGAGACGAGGGUAACCAAGCUCAUGUGACAAAUCAAUGGUGGGUUUGUAACCCAGAAACCCACAUGUGACAUUGGUGUUUAGGAGCUAAAAAAGAACCUUAUUUUAAAAUGCCACUAAAGACCAAAAACCCUUUUGUCAUGUAUAGCUUUCACACAUAGAGUUGCCAGCACCUGCAUAUACACAGGUGUGUUUGUUACCCCGCAGGGCAGGCUUCUUUAUUGGUCAGUGUGCCUGGUCAGUGGAAAUGGCCGAAGUGGCUCAGGGCCCAGCUCUGUUACCCGUGAUCCUAAUAUUAUAUGAUCCAAAGCAGGUCUAUGCCUUCUCGAAUAAAUCCACACAGGCUCUGCUGUGCAGACAAGGACGCAGAGGCUCUGAGCACUUGAGCUACCAAGCCAUCAACUAUGCAGCACUGUUAAAGCAGGAUCCAGGACCCAUACCACAUUGGACUCUAAAUUCUGUGCCAAGCAGUGCCAAGGGCUAAGUGGAGCAUACGAUGUCCUCUCCAUCAAGGAAUGGGUGGGAGAAACAAGUGGAGUUCACUGGCUUCAGUGGCAGAGGCCAUGACUUUGGGCAAGUCACUUCCACUUCCAUGCCUUGGUCUUGCCAUUGGUACAAGGAUGGGGUUGGCCUACAGUCCAUGUCCUCCGAACUUUUAAAUUCAUGUAACCCCCCUCCAUAUCCUCCCAACUUUUUGAAAACCCAAAUAAAAUCUUAGGCCAAAUCCCAAUACAUACAAAGAGACAAAAAUUGGAGACACCUUGAGCUGCUCAGGGCUUUCUAGGAGGCAAAUUGGACACAUUUCGUUUAGCAUUUGCUAUUGAUCAUCUCUGUGUCUCCUCCCCUGGCCCCCCUAGUGGGACAUGGUGGCUGCAGCCUCAGGCUUUGGAGUCUGGCACACAGAGGUCCAGUCUGGGCCCUGCCACCUUCUGGCUAUGUGACCUUGGGCAAGUCAGUUGCGUCUCUGUAAGAUGGUGGUGAUGAUGGUUGAGUGGAGGUGAGGGAUGAAAUGUGCCGAUGCAUGCUCGUUUAAUACUUUGCUCAGUGCCCAGCAGGCUGGAGGUUAAACAAGGCUGAUGAAGAAGGCCUUUGAAGACACUGCUCUCCUGGGGAAGUACUGCUGUCUGUUAUUUUUCUCUCCCAGAGAUACAGCCCAGGAGUAAAAACUCCUCUCCCAACCUUGGCAUCCCCUGAAUGCUGCCUGGAAGCCCCCUUCUCCUGACUUCACCGAGCAUCUCCCAUAAGCCCAGGUCUGGACAAAACCAGGAAAAUGUAGAAAACCAGGGUCAGGUCAUGAUGGGUGAGUAUGACAGCUUGGGCCUACCAGCCCUAGGCCUAGACCAGGGUUCUCCUGAGGAGGUAAAGGAAUCGUUCCCUGGAUUCCAAGGAAGAACUGGGCAUUGGAGCCUCAUUUUAAGAGGGGAUGUUUGUUGUGGUACUUAACAGUGUAGACCCACCCUGAGUUCAAAUCCCAGCCCCGACUCUUAGUGGUUGUGUGAGGCACUUACUGGUUUAAGAGGCAAAUUGCUCCAACUCUGCCUCAUCCUUCUCACUUGCAAAAUGAGGCUGGUAGUGAUACCUGCCUCGCAGGGUUGCUGGGGAAGGCCCCUAGAAUGUUGCCAGCCACGUUAACAAGGACCUCCCAAACAGCAUGUUUGAAUGUGUGUACGUGCUCGUUUUCUGUUAGAAUAGGAGUCAAACUGUACUUUUAGAAUAACAUGCUCGUGGAACAUUUGGAGAGCCUCUGAAACACUUUCAUGGAACACAAUUUGGAGACUACCCCUUCAGCAAAUAUUGGUGGUUCUCAUUUUUGUACUGGAGGAUAAUGGAGGGGCCACGGAUGCUGAGAGUUGGAGGCAGAGGAGGAAGGAGGAGAGAUGGGGAGGGGAGAAGUUGAGGUGAUGCUGUGGAGAGUGCAGUCAGUAGUGGAAAUAGUACUCUUCGCAACCCAGGGAGGCCAUGUGAGCUUCUGCUGAGGCUUGGGAAGUCUCCUAGCAGUUGUUGAUGAGCAAACUCAGCUCCUGGGGCUGCUUUAAUGACCUCUGGCCCGCGCCUUUGAAGAAAAGGUGCAGAAGAGCGUGGAGCAAGGUAAACAUGUGUGCAGAGAAGUGGGGGUGGGGAG